GUGAGAGGAAGACGCUGCUACUGGGACUCGACCGUGACACCUUUGGGGGCCAUAUUUGGUAGGCAUUUGGGUUGACGAAGUUAUGGAGUUGCGGAGUUGAGGCGUUCCGUCAGGUAGGAGUUGCUGUCAAGUCAACGGAGGCAAUUCCCUAGCAAUGGCCCAUGCCAUGACAUGAAAAUAGGUACUGCAUGCGGGGUUUGAAAACGUACCCCUCGGUGAGCACCUUUGUACCCCCGGGGUGCCAAAGGAGUAGAUGCCUCGUAAGGGUAUUAGAGGAGGGGUGGACACUUCGUAAGUGGCCCCGACUCCCCCGUCGACCCAUAGGACAUGGGUCGUCCCUUGGCUAGCGGAGUAGCCAAGCCUAGCGUUCCGUGUAGCCGGUUAAUGGACGGUUGAAGGGACACGGGCCUAGGGUAAUGUCGGAGACGAGAGAGGUCGACGACAUUACGGAGCGGGGAAUACCGGGAGGCUUCCUCCCUAGGAUCGCUUGCACUACCUUAUGCAGGCUUAGAUCUCUGUAGUGGAGCGUACGAGCGGAUGAGGGAUAGUCUAGCGACGGACGGUCCUCCGUAAAGGACAAGGCUCGCGAAGGCAAGU
RNAcentral lists this long non-coding RNA (597 nucleotides) under Ananas comosus (pineapple). Its description in RNAcentral is "long non-coding RNA (ACOM_LNC019415)". The record is from RNAcentral. Lineage: Eukaryota; Viridiplantae; Streptophyta; Magnoliopsida; Poales; Bromeliaceae.